AUGGAAAAUGCCUGCACGAACCUCAACCAAGUCGUGCGCUCGGUGCGGCUGCUCAAGAUCGACGGGUUUAGCUUGACCGUGAGCCUGAGCUCUGAAUAUCGCUUCACAUCGAGAUGGAAUGUCGAUGGGUAUGAUUUGGAACUUGGUAUCUAUCCUGCAGCCAAACCCUUAUAUCCAGAUGGCAACAAGUUGAGACUUAUGUUUCUCAGUAAAGCCCGCACAGAGUGUGGUGUCCCAGUGAGCCUAGCCUGUCAGCUGGUAGAUCCGAGUGGGGAGCUCGAACCAUUUAAAGAGGACAGUGUGUCGGAGACCUUCUUUGCACCCCACUACUUCAAAGAACUCUUCUUCGUGAAUAGGAAGUCCAUACCAUCUGCUUAUCUCCGGGACGAUUCUUUGACUCUGCGAUGUGCCAUCACAAUGCUCAAGGAAUUACCAGUGCAAACCAUCCCAGCUGAAGAGGUGAUCACUGUACCAUCCACCAAUUUGCACCGGCACCUCGGCGAGCUCCUGGAGAGCGAGACGGGAGCCGAUGUCACCUUUCUCGUGUGCGACGAGUCGUUUGCUGCACACAAGGACAUACUUGCCGCGAGGUCUCCGGUUUUCAAGGCCCAGUUCUUUGGAGAGAUGAAGGGGAAGUGCUCGCAACGUGUGGAGGUGAAGGACAUGGAGGUGGCAGCAUUCAGGGCCAUGCUGCACUUCAUCUACACCGACACGGUGCCCGAGCUUGAUCAACCGCUCGAGGUGGUGGCGACGCUCGCUCAGCAUCUGCUUGCGGCUGCUGACUGGUACGGUCUUGAUAGGCUCAAGCUGAUUUGUGAAGUAAAGCUCUCUGGUGGCAUCACUGUCGACACCGCAGCGACAACUCUUGCUUUGGCGGAGCAGCACAAUUGCUUGAAGCUCAAGGCCAAAUGUGUCGAGUUCAUCGCACUGUUUUAA
Molecule: ribosomal RNA, 936 nt
Filed under: Triticum aestivum (bread wheat)
Lineage: Eukaryota; Viridiplantae; Streptophyta; Magnoliopsida; Poales; Poaceae
Description: partial small subunit ribosomal RNA
Source: RNAcentral